AUUCGCGUCGGGCACACGGGAAACUCGUCAAUAUUAAAACAAUUCCGAGACCCUUGGAUCUUGCGAUGGCGUGCCGUGGCUCUUUAUGGGCGGACGGAUUACAAAGCACGAUUCAUCCUCAAAUCCUUACUUUCGGAGUUAUCCAAAGUCCCCGACGCGAUCUUAUAA
Molecule: small RNA, 168 nt
Filed under: Porphyromonas sp. HMSC065F10
Lineage: Bacteria; Pseudomonadati; Bacteroidota; Bacteroidia; Bacteroidales; Porphyromonadaceae
Description: Bacteroidales-1 6S-Bacteroidales RNA suggested
Rfam family: Bacteroidales-1 6S-Bacteroidales RNA suggested
Source: Rfam by way of RNAcentral